CCCUUAGAUGUCCUGGGCCGCACGCGCGUUACACUGAUGCAUUCAACGAGCUUAUAACCUUGGCCGAGAGGCCUGGGCAAUCUUGUUAACGUGCAUCGUGAUAGGGAUAGACUAUUGCAAUUAUUGGUCUUCAACGAGGAAUUCCUAGUAGACGUAGUUCAUCAGACUGCAUCGAUUACAUCCCUGCCCUUUGUACACACCGCCCGUCGCUCCUACCGAUUGAAUGCUCAGGUGAGCCAUUCGGACUUUCAUCAUGUUGGUUUCCAGUUUUGAUGAAGGAAAGUCUUGCGAACCUUAUCAUUUAGAGGAAGGAGAAGUCGUAACA
This 325-nucleotide ribosomal RNA is filed under the name uncultured eukaryote. RNAcentral's name for it is "partial 18S ribosomal RNA". It matches the Rfam family "Eukaryotic small subunit ribosomal RNA", at positions 1470 to 1796 of the family's 1831-position model. The record is from RNAcentral.